GACGAACGCUGGCGGCGUGCCUAAUACAUGCAAGUCGAACGCUGAAGGAGGAGCUUGCUUCUCUGGAUGAGUUGCGAACGGGUGAGUAACGCGUAGGUAACCUGCCUGGUAGCGGGGGAUAACUAUUGGAAACGAUAGCUAAUACCGCAUAAUAUUGACUAUUGCAUGAUAGUCAGUUGAAAGGUGCAACUGCACCACUACCAGAUGGACCUGCGUUGUAUUAGCUAGUUGGUGGGGUAACGGCUCACCAAGGCGACGAUACAUAGCCGACCUGAGAGGGUGAUCGGCCACACUGGGACUGAGACACGGCCCAGACUCCUACGGGAGGCAGCAGUAGGGAAUCUUCGGCAAUGGACGGAAGUCUGACCGAGCAACGCCGCGUGAGUGAAGAAGGUUGUCGGAUCGUAAAGCUCUGUUGUAAGAGAAGAACGAGUGUGAGAGUGGAAAGCUCACACUGUGACGGUAUCUUACCAGAAAGGGACGGCUAACUACGUG
Molecule: ribosomal RNA, 495 nt
Filed under: uncultured bacterium
Lineage: Bacteria
Description: partial 16S ribosomal RNA
Rfam family: Bacterial small subunit ribosomal RNA
Source: RNAcentral